GGGGUUGACUGGAUUUGACGGCGAGAUGAGAUGGUACGUAAGCACGCGGAGGCUCGUUGGUUCCCUCCUUAAUCUGAGCUGGCGCAAAUUUAAUUGGCAACAAACAGUAUGCUCUCGCUGCCUAAUCGAAGUACAGUAGAUUACUGGCUUUAUUCUCUUACAAGGUAGGAGAACGAGACGUCGCUCCAAGGAUGUUGUUCCGAAUCUGAGGAUGAAGCGGCGCAGGAAAAUCGGAAAUAGUCUGUUCAGGUCUCGAUGUUCAGAUGAAAUCUUAGAGAAUAAGGUUAUGAUUGGUGGUCCAGGUCUUGUCAUAACACGAAAAUGAAGGCUGGAAUAAGCGUGUAGAAAGCGUAUGGUUUCCUUGUGCGGACGUGGGUUCGAAUCCCACCAGCUCCACC
RNAcentral lists this transfer-messenger RNA (398 nucleotides) under uncultured Prevotella sp. It matches the Rfam family "transfer-messenger RNA". From Rfam's summary of the family: Bacterial tmRNA, also known as 10Sa RNA or SsrA, is named for its dual tRNA and mRNA-like properties. Its role is to liberate the mRNA from a stalled ribosome. To accomplish this part of the tmRNA is used as a reading frame that ends in a translation stop signal. The record is from RNAcentral. Lineage: Bacteria; Pseudomonadati; Bacteroidota; Bacteroidia; Bacteroidales; Prevotellaceae.